UUGGAGGGCAAGUCUGGUGCCAGCAGCCGCGGUAAUUCCAGCUCCAAUAGCGUAUAUUAAAGUUGUUGCAGUUAAAAAGCUCGUAGUUGAAUUUCGGAAUCAAUUUGUUGGUCGUGCCUCGGUACGUACUGGUAUUAUUGGUUUCUACCUUCUGAAGAACCUUGAUGUCAUUAAUUUGGUGUCUUGGGGAAUCAGGACUGUUACUUUGAAAAAAUUAGAGUGUUUAAAGCAAGCAUACGCUUGAAUACAUUAGCAUGGAAUAAUGAAAUAGGACGUUCGAUCUUAUUUUGUUGGUUUCUAGGAUCGACGUAAUGAUUAAUAGGGAUAGUUGGGGGCAUUAGUAUUCAAUUGUCAGAGGUGAAAUUCUUGGAUUUAUUGAAGACUAACUACUGCGAAAGCAUUUGCCAAGGAUGUUUUCAUUAAUCAAGAACGAAAGUUAGGGGAUCGAAGACGAUCAGAUACCGUCGUAGUCUUAACCAUAAACUACGCCGACUAGGGAUCGGAUGAUGUUAAUUUUUUAAUGACUCAUUCGGCGCCUUACGGGAAAC
This 548-nucleotide ribosomal RNA is filed under the name uncultured Glomus. RNAcentral describes it as "SSU rRNA". It matches the Rfam family "Eukaryotic small subunit ribosomal RNA", at positions 548 to 1098 of the family's 1831-position model. Lineage: Eukaryota; Fungi; Glomeromycota; Glomeromycetes; Glomerales; Glomeraceae. The record is from RNAcentral.